Molecule: ribosomal RNA, 829 nt
Filed under: uncultured bacterium
Lineage: Bacteria
Description: bacterial SSU rRNA
Rfam family: Bacterial small subunit ribosomal RNA
Source: RNAcentral
GCGGGCGCAGCUACCAUGCAAGUCGAACGAUGAACCGCUUUCGGGCGGGGAUUAGUGGCGAACGGGUGAGUAACACGUGGGCAAUCUGCCCUGCACUCUGGGACAAGCCCUGGAAACGGGGUCUAAUACCGGAUAUGACUGUCCGCCGCAUGGUGGAUGGUGUAAAGCUCCGGCGGUGCAGGAUGAGCCCGCGGCCUAUCAGCUUGUUGGUGAGGUAGUGGCUCACCAAGGCGACGACGGGUAGCCGGCCUGAGAGGGCGACCGGCCACACUGGGACUGAGACACGGCCCAGACUCCUACGGGAGGCAGCAGUGGGGAAUAUUGCACAAUGGGCGAAAGCCUGAUGCAGCGACGCCGCGUGAGGGAUGACGGCCUUCGGGUUGUAAACCUCUUUCAGCAGGGAAGAAGCGAGAGUGACGGUACCUGCAGAAGAAGCGCCGGCUAACUACGUGCCAGCAGCCGCGGUAAUACGUAGGGCGCAAGCGUUGUCCGGAAUUAUUGGGCGUAAAGAGCUCGUAGGCGGCUUGUCACGUCGGUUGUGAAAGCCCGGGGCUUAACCCCGGGUCUGCAGUCGAUACGGGCAGGCUAGAGUUCGGUAGGGGAGAUCGGAAUUCCUGGUGUAGCGGUGAAAUGCGCAGAUAUCAGGAGGAACACCGGUGGCGAAGGCGGAUCUCUGGGCCGAUACUGACGCUGAGGAGCGAAAGCGUGGGGAGCGAACAGGAUUAGAUACCCUGGUAGUCCACGCCGUAAACGGUGGGCACUAGGUGUGGGCAACAUUCCACGUUGUCCGUGCCGCAGCUAACGCAUUAAGUGCCCCGCCUGGGGAGUA